This 235-nucleotide long non-coding RNA is filed under the name Homo sapiens (human). Its description in RNAcentral is "HSALNT0145111". The record is from RNAcentral. Lineage: Eukaryota; Metazoa; Chordata; Mammalia; Primates; Hominidae.
UGUCCCAGGACGCAGGAUUGGCGCUGAGCUCGGGAUCUCUGUGUGCACCUGCAUCGCUGGUCUGGAAACUGGACGGCCCCAAACUGAGUCCAAGUCCUGCAUCUGCCAGUCGUGUGAACUUGGGUGAGUGACUUAGCCUCGCUGUGUCUCAGUUUCCUUAUCAGGAAAAUCUAGCCAUUCACCACCCCUUCCUCAGUGGGCUGCUGUGGGGACUGGAGUUAGCAUGUGCACGGGC